UUGUGGCAGAAUUAAUGCAUAGAUUUUAAGCGUCUAAGAUAAGGUUUCCU
RNAcentral lists this transfer RNA (50 nucleotides) under Planorbella pilsbryi. Its description in RNAcentral is "tRNA-Leu". Lineage: Eukaryota; Metazoa; Mollusca; Gastropoda; Planorbidae. The record is from RNAcentral.